Molecule: ribosomal RNA, 484 nt
Filed under: uncultured bacterium
Lineage: Bacteria
Description: partial 16S ribosomal RNA
Rfam family: Bacterial small subunit ribosomal RNA
Source: RNAcentral
AUUGAACGCUGGCGGCAGGCCUAACACAUGCAAGUCGAGCGGAUGAAGGGAGCUUGCUCCUGGAUUCAGCGGCGGACGGGUGAGUAAUGCCUAGGAAUCUGCCUGGUAGUGGGGGAUAACGUCCGGAAACGGGCGCUAAUACCGCAUACGUCCUGAGGGAGAAAGUGGGGGAUCUUCGGACCUCACGCUAUCAGAUGAGCCUAGGUCGGAUUAGCUAGUUGGUGGGGUAAAGGCCUACCAAGGCGACGAUCCGUAACUGGUCUGAGAGGAUGAUCAGUCACCCUGGAACUGAGAAACGGUCCAGACUCCUACGGGAGGCAGCAGUGGGGAAUAUUGGACGAUGGGCGAAAGCCUGAUCCAGCCAUGCCGCGUGUGUGAAGAAGGUCUUCGGAUUGUAAAGCACUUUAAGUUGGGAGGAAGGGCAGUAAGUUAAUACCUUGCUGUUUUGACGUUACCAACAGAAUAAGCACCGGCUAACUUCGUG